Molecule: ribosomal RNA, 468 nt
Filed under: uncultured bacterium
Lineage: Bacteria
Description: partial 16S ribosomal RNA
Rfam family: Bacterial small subunit ribosomal RNA
Source: RNAcentral
GACGAACGCUGGCGGCGUGCUUAACACAUGCAAGUCGAACGGACAGGCCCUGCUUUUGUGGGGUGCUCGAGUGGCGAACGGGUGAGUAUCACGUGAGUAACCUGCCCUUGACUUUGGGAUAACUUCAGGAAACUGGGGCUAAUACCGGAUAGGAGCUCCUGCUGCAUGGUGGGGGUUGGAAAGUUUCGGCGGUUGGGGAUGGACUCGCGGCUUAUCAGCUUGUUGGUGGGGUAGUGGCUUACCAAGGCUUUGACGGGUAGCCGUCCUGAGAGGGUGACCGGGCAAAAGGGGACUGAGAGAGGGCGCAGAAGGCAACGGGAGGCAGCAGGGGGGAAUAUUGCAGAAUGGGCGGAAGCCUGAUGCAGCAACGCCGCGUGCGGGAUGACGGGCUUCGGGGUGUAAACCGCUUUCGCAUGUGACGAAGCGGGAGUGACGGUAAUGGGUAAAGAAGCACCGGCUAACUACGUG